Molecule: ribosomal RNA, 356 nt
Filed under: uncultured soil bacterium
Lineage: Bacteria
Description: bacterial SSU rRNA
Rfam family: Bacterial small subunit ribosomal RNA
Source: RNAcentral
AGAGUGAACGCUGGCGGUAGGCCUAACACAUGCAAGUCGAACGGCAGCACAGUGGUAGCAAUACCAUGGGUGGCGAGUGGCGGACGGGUGAGGAAUACAUCGGAAUCUACCUUUUCGUGGGGGAUAACGUAGGGAAACUUACGCUAAUACCGCAUACGCCCUUUGGGGGAAAGCCGGGGAUCGCAAGACCUGGCGCGGAUAGAUGAGCCGAUGUCGGAUUAGCUAGUUGGUGAGGUAAUGGCUCACCAAGGCGACGAUCCGUAGCUGGUCUGAGAGGAUGAUCAGCCACACUGGAACUGAGACACGGUCCAGACUCCUACGGGAGCAGCAGGUGGGAAUAGUUGGAACAAGUGGGC